Long non-coding RNA from Lepisosteus oculatus (spotted gar), 588 nucleotides. RefSeq lists it as uncharacterized. Lineage: Eukaryota; Metazoa; Chordata; Actinopteri; Semionotiformes; Lepisosteidae. The record is from RefSeq and is a predicted model, not a curated record.
ACAAAGUGUGUAUUUUACUUCGAAGAAAAGCUCUGUUGCAGAAAUAAAGACACUGCUGUAUUCACAGAAUGAAAACGUCGCCUUUCCUUGAGCUUUUUCGGGUUGGAUAUGAUUCGCACUAAAUAAUGGGAAUUUUGAAGUUUUUGGGCAGGAUAAGCUUGACUCAGCUGCUGGAAUUAUCUAUGAAAUGCAACGAAGUUCCAGUCUUCAUUCUGGUCGCUGCCUCGACAGAUCCAUUGGAGAAACAGUAAUGUGCCGUAUGUUUCUGUGCUUUUCCGUGUACUGUAGGUGCGUGCAAAACUUUUUGUACACUGUUUAUUUGUAAAAGCUUUUAGCGUAAAUGUAUCCGUGCUUUGAGACUUUGUCAUUUAAAUCCAUGUUACUUUUCACUUCAGAUCCUGUGCAUCUGUCGUAUGCAAUGGAAUGCGUUGUUUAACGUUGCAUGCUAAUGUUUUUGUACUCUGCUUACUUGUAAAAAGUCUUUAGUGUUAAUGUAGCCUUGCUUUGACGCUUUGUAAUUUAAAAGGUGUUAAUUUUCAUUUCGAAUCUGUGCAUCGCUCGUACUGGAAUGCUUUGUUUUGUAUGCAG